UUGCAAUAUUUUUUUUAGUUUAAGUGUUACCUUUAAUGUCAUGUCACGUGUUUUAUUUAUUAUGUGUUACAUUUUAAUUAGUUUAAAUAUUUUGUUUCAAUACCGUUUGAUUUUUAUGUUUUCCAAAUUUAUUUUAUUUUUUUUCCGAGCAUUUUUAAUUUUGCUUGAUUAUGUUUUAUUUUCAUGCAUUUAGUGUAGUUUAAUUCUCGUCUCAAACACCUUCAAAAUCCUCCUACUCGUGUUUGAUCUAAUUCUGAACCGAAAUUUGGUCCUUGAGAGACGACCUAGGAGUCACUUCCUAGCUAUACUGCACAUUUCUAAUAUGCAAUUAAAUUUGUAUGGGUUGCGACACCCAUCAAAUUUUGGCGUCGUUGUCGGGGACCAACGGUUCGGUUUUAGGUCUUUGUUGUGUUAGUGUGUGUUGUGUUUUGUCUUGUGUUAUUAGUGUGUUGUUCCGUUUUGUGUUUCGUGUCAUGUGUGUUGCAUUUAGAUAGCUUUAGUUGCAUAUUUUCAUUCCAUUCUUCUUUUCCCCCUCCUUUCUACAUGUCUACCUAUGUUGGUUGUGUGAGUAAUGCUUAUUCUGCCUAUGAUUAUGAAUCUCCU
RNAcentral lists this long non-coding RNA (603 nucleotides) under Vigna radiata. Its description in RNAcentral is "long non-coding RNA (VRAD_LNC017845)". The record is from RNAcentral. Lineage: Eukaryota; Viridiplantae; Streptophyta; Magnoliopsida; Fabales; Fabaceae.